GUGACUGCGUACCUUUUGUAUAAUGGGUCAGCGACUUAUAUUCUGUAGCAAGGUUAACCGAAUAGGGGAGCCGUAGGGAAACCGAGUCUUAACCGGGCGUUAAGUUGCAGGGUAUAGACCCGAAACCCGGUGAUCUAGCCAUGGGCAGGUUGAAGGUUGGGUAACACUAACUGGAGGACCGAACCGACUAAUGUUGAAAAAUUAGCGGAUGACCUGUGGCUGGGGGUGAAAGGCCAAUCAAACCGGGAGAUAGCUGGUUCUCCCCGAAAGCUAUUUAGGUAGCGCCUCGUGAAUUCAUCUCCGGGGGUAGAGCACUGUUUCGGCUAGGGGGCCAUCCCGGCUUACCAACCCGAUGCAAACUGCGAAUACCGGAGAAUGUUAUCACGGGAGACACACGGCGGGUGCUAACGUCCGUCGUGAAGAGGGAAACAACCCAGACCGCCAGCUAAGGUCCCAAAGUCAUGGUUAAGUGGGAAACGAUGUGGGAAGGCCCAGACAGCCAGGAUGUUGGCUUAGAAGCAGCCAUCAUUUAAAGAAAGCGUAAUAGCUCACUGGUCGAGUCGGCCUGCGCGGAAGAUGUAACGGGGCUAAACCAUGCACCGAAGCUGCGGCAGCGA
Molecule: ribosomal RNA, 617 nt
Filed under: Salmonella enterica
Lineage: Bacteria; Pseudomonadati; Pseudomonadota; Gammaproteobacteria; Enterobacterales; Enterobacteriaceae
Also listed under: 3 other names
Description: bacterial LSU rRNA
Rfam family: Bacterial large subunit ribosomal RNA
Source: RNAcentral